UUUCAUUGGUGACCUCCAUGUAGGUCAGCGUGCCUGGGUCGUGGAAAUCCUGUGAUGGAAUCUAGGAGCUAUGGUG
Cavia porcellus (domestic guinea pig) is the source of this 76-nucleotide small nucleolar RNA. It matches the Rfam family "Small nucleolar RNA SNORD66". From Rfam's summary of the family: snoRNA HBII-142 is part of the C/D family of snoRNAs. It is the human orthologue of the mouse MBII-142 snoRNA and is predicted to guide 2'O-ribose methylation of small 18S rRNA at residue C1272. Lineage: Eukaryota; Metazoa; Chordata; Mammalia; Rodentia; Caviidae. The record is from Rfam.